UGAAACCGUGUGCUUACAAGUAGUCAGAGCCCGUUAAUGGGUGAUGGCGUGCCUUUUGUAGAAUGAACCGGCGAGUUACGAUUUGAUGCAAGGUUAAGCAGUAAAUGUGGAGCCGUAGCGAAAGCGAGUCUGAAUAGGGCGUUUAGUAUUUGGUCGUAGACCCGAAACCAGGUGAUCUACCCUUGGUCAGGUUGAAGUUCAGGUAACACUGAAUGGAGGACCGAACCGACUUACGUUGAAAAGUGAGCGGAUGAACUGAGGGUAGCGGAGAAAUUCCAAUCGAACCUGGAGAUAGCUGGUUCUCUCCGAAAUAGCUUUAGGGCUAGCCUCAAGUGAUGAUUAUUGGAGGUAGAGCACUGUUUGGACGAGGGGCCCCUCUCGGGUUACCGAAUUCAGACAAACUCCGAAUGCCAAUUAAUUUAACUUGGGAGUCAGAACAUGGGUGAUAAGGUCCGUGUUCGAAAGGGAAACAGCCCAGACCACCAGCUAAGGUCCCAAAAUAUAUGUUAAGUGGAAAAGGAUGUGGCGUUGCCCAGACAACUAGGAUGUUGGCUUAGAAGCAGCCAUCAUUUAAAGAGUGCGUAAUAGCUCACUAGUCGAGUGACACUGCGCCGAAAAUGUACCGGGGCUAAACAUAUUACCGAAGCUGUGGAUUGUCCUUUGGACAAUGGUAGGAGAGCGUUCUAAGGGCGUUGAAGCAUGAUCGUAAGGACAUGUGGAGCGCUUAGAAGUGAGAAUGCCGGUGUGAGUAGCGAAAGACGGGUGAGAAUCCCGUCCACCGAUUGACUAAGGUUUCCAGAGGAAGGCUCGUCCGCUCUGGGUUAGUCGGGUCCUAAGCUGAGGCCGACAGGCGUAGGCGAUGGAUAACAGGUUGAUAUUCCUGUACCACCUAUAAUCGUUUUAAUCGAUGGGGGGACGCAGUAGGAUAGGCGAAGCGUGCGAUUGGAUUGCACGUCUAAGCAGUAAGGCUGAGUAUUAGGCAAAUCCGGUACUCGUUAAGGCUGAGCUGUGAUGGGGAGAAGACAUUGUGUCUUCGAGUCGUU
Molecule: ribosomal RNA, 1043 nt
Filed under: Staphylococcus aureus
Lineage: Bacteria; Bacillati; Bacillota; Bacilli; Caryophanales; Staphylococcaceae
Description: partial 23S ribosomal RNA
Rfam family: Bacterial large subunit ribosomal RNA
Source: RNAcentral